UACAGAGGUCCCAAGCGUUGUUCGGAUUCAUUGGGCGUAAAGGGUGCGUAGGCGGCCCGGUAAGUCGGGUGUGAAAUCUCGGGGCUUAACUCCGAAACUGCAUUCGAUACUGCCGUGCUUGAGGACUGGAGAGGAGACUGGAAUUUACGGUGUAGCGGUGAAAUGCGUAGAUAUCGUAAGGAAGACCAGUGGCGAAGGCGGGUCUCUGGACAGUUCCUGACGCUGAGGCACGAAGGUCAGGGGAGCAAACGGG
Molecule: ribosomal RNA, 253 nt
Filed under: uncultured bacterium
Lineage: Bacteria
Description: partial 16S ribosomal RNA
Rfam family: Bacterial small subunit ribosomal RNA
Source: RNAcentral